RNAcentral lists this ribosomal RNA (403 nucleotides) under Clostridiales bacterium oral taxon 075. RNAcentral describes it as "bacterial SSU rRNA". It matches the Rfam family "Bacterial small subunit ribosomal RNA", at positions 28 to 414 of the family's 1533-position model. The record is from RNAcentral. Lineage: Bacteria; Bacillati; Bacillota; Clostridia; Eubacteriales.
GAUAAACGCGGCGGUGUACAUAAGACAUGCAAGUCGAACGGGAGAAGACAGGAAGAUUUAUCUACUUGUUGGACACCGUGGCGGACGGGUGAGUAACACGUAAGCAACCUGCCUAUAAGAGGGGAAUAACAGUGAGAAAUUACUGAUAAUACCGCAUAAGCUGGAGGUAUCGCAUGAUACAUUCAGAAAAGAUUUAUCGCUUAUAGAUGGGCUUGCGUCUGAUUAGCUAGUUGGUGAGAUAACAGCUCACCAAGGCGACGAUCAGUAGCCGGAUUGAGAGGUUGAACGGCCACAUUGGGACUGAGACACGGCCCAGACUCCUACGGGGAGGCAGCAGUCGGGGAAUAUUUGCACAAUGGGAGGGAAAACUCUGAUGCAAGUGACCACCCGCGUAAUAGGAAAG